AGAGAGAGAGAGAGAGAGAGAGAGAGAGAGAGAGAGAGAGAGAGAGAGAGAGAGAGAAAGUGCAGCCUUGAACUUGGUGAUAGGGAUUUUGAGUUCAAAUCAGGCUCAGUAGCAGCCUUGUUGUUUGACCUUGAGUGAUCUGCUUAAUUUCAUAGCAUUUGUUUGCUCAUCUGCAAACAAAAGGGGGACUGCUGAUCCCGGCAUAUUGUGGAGAUUAAUUAGUUUCUGAAGUGCUGAGAUCAACAGAUGAAAGGCUGUGAGUGGAAAUUAUUUUGUUUUUAAAGGAAUAAUCGAUGUGUGUGAAUAAAAGAGAACUCACUGAACUAAAUUACAGGCACUUGGCUGCUGGUGGGAGUCCGGGGAAGACAGAAUAUUGCUUUUUGCAAAGAACCCUACAUUCACCCCAAAAAUAGCAGUGGGAAAAUUGCUUUUUCUGUGAUUCUGAAAGAAUAAGAAAUUAUGCAAAGGAAAAUAGCAAGAAUAACAGGAGAAUGUGCGCAGUUAAGAUACACUUCAAAGUAACUUUCUUGAGCAAACAACCAGGC
This 545-nucleotide long non-coding RNA is filed under the name Mus musculus (house mouse). RNAcentral describes it as "long non-coding RNA chr16:6249684-6250229". Lineage: Eukaryota; Metazoa; Chordata; Mammalia; Rodentia; Muridae. The record is from RNAcentral.